RNAcentral lists this ribosomal RNA (711 nucleotides) under uncultured bacterium. Its description in RNAcentral is "bacterial SSU rRNA". It matches the Rfam family "Bacterial small subunit ribosomal RNA", at positions 11 to 710 of the family's 1533-position model. The record is from RNAcentral.
GUUUGAUCCUGGCUCAGAGUGAACGCUGGCGGCAGGCCUAAUACAUGCAAGUCGAACGGCAGCACAGUGGAGCUUGCUCCAUGGGUGGCGAGUGGCGGACGGGUGAGGAAUACAUGGGAAUCUGCCCAGUCGUGGGGGAUAACGUAUGGAAACGUACGCUAAUACCGCAUGCGCCCUUUGGGGGAAAGUCGGGGACCGCAAGGCCUGACGCGAUUGGAUGAGCCCAUGUUCGAUUAGCUAGUUGGCGGGGUAACGGCCCACCAAGGCGACGAUCGAUAGCUGGUCUGAGAGGAUGAUCAGCCACACUGGAACUGAGACACGGUCCAGACUCCUACGGGAGGCAGCAGUAGGGAAUAUUGGACAAUGGGCGCAAGCCUGAUCCAGCCAUGCCGCGUGAGUGAAGAAGGCCCUCGGGUUGUAAAGCUCUUUUGUUGGGGAAGAAAAGCAGUUGGUUAAUACCCGAUUGUUCUGACGGUACCCAAAGAAUAAGCACCGGCUAACUUCGUGCCAGCAGCCGCGGUAAUACGAAGGGUGCAAGCGUUACUCGGAAUUACUGGGCGUAAAGCGUGCGUAGGUGGUUGUUUAAGUCUGAUGUGAAAGCCCUGGGCUCAACCUGGGAAUGGCAUUGGAUACUGGAUAGCUAGAGUGCGGUAGAGGGUAGUGGAAUUCCCGGUGUAGCAGUGAAAUGCGUAGAGAUCGGGGAGGAAGGCC